GUAGGUGAACCUGCGGAAGGAUCAUUAACAAUCACGGAGGGUGGGGUGGAGUGGGGAGUGGAGUGAGCCAAGUGGGGGGAGUUAUCUCUUUGCUUGACCUUGCUCUACCUCUACCACCAUCCCAACCCUUACAAAAACGCAGGGUAGCGUUUACCGCGCGACCCUGAGUAGUCUGGAAGGCGAGUGUGCGCUUCUUGCGAGGCGACACGCUGGCCGGAAGGGCUUUGUUUCUUUGUUGCGCUGCUGUGUG
Molecule: unclassified non-coding RNA, 250 nt
Filed under: plant metagenome
Description: partial contains small subunit ribosomal RNA, internal transcribed spacer 1, and 5.8S ribosomal RNA
Source: RNAcentral